UACAGAGGGGGCAAGCGUUGUUCGGAAUUACUGGGCGUAAAGGGCGCGUAGGCGGCCUUCUAAGUCAGACGUGAAAUCCCUCGGCUCAACCGGGGAACUGCGUCUGAGACUGGAAGGCUUGAAUCCGGGAGAGGGAUGUGGAAUUCCAGGUGUAGCGGUGAAAUGCGUAGAUAUCUGGAGGAACACCGGUGGCGAAGGCGGCUUCCUGGACCGACACUGACGCUGAGGCGCGAAAGCUAGGGGAGCAAACGGG
This 253-nucleotide ribosomal RNA is filed under the name uncultured bacterium. Its description in RNAcentral is "partial 16S ribosomal RNA". It matches the Rfam family "Bacterial small subunit ribosomal RNA", at positions 524 to 776 of the family's 1533-position model. The record is from RNAcentral.